UGAAUAUGAAAUGAGGUUGUUGUUGUUGUUGAUAACAACAUUGAGACGAGAUGAUGUUUAUGUUGAGAAUGAUGUGAAAAUGGAAUGUUGAUUGAUGUUGGAAAUGCAUUGGCAUGUGCAUGUUGUGUAUGUUCGUGGGGGGCGAAGUGCACUGACCUUCCAGGGUCUUUGGCACUUGCUUUAGGCCAUGUUCAUACGUUGAAUGUUGUGUAUGUUCAUGGGGGGCGAAGUGCAUGACCUUCCAGGGUCUUUGGCAUUUUCUUUGGGCCACGUUCAUACGUUGUAUGUAGUGUAUGU
This 297-nucleotide long non-coding RNA is filed under the name Glycine max (soybean). RNAcentral's name for it is "long non-coding RNA (GMAX_LNC001040)". Lineage: Eukaryota; Viridiplantae; Streptophyta; Magnoliopsida; Fabales; Fabaceae. The record is from RNAcentral.